Long non-coding RNA from Drosophila innubila, 741 nucleotides. RefSeq lists it as uncharacterized. Lineage: Eukaryota; Metazoa; Arthropoda; Insecta; Diptera; Drosophilidae. The transcript is spliced from 2 exons. The record is from RefSeq and is a predicted model, not a curated record.
GAGAUGAGAAAAAGACACUAAAAGCGUUAAAAAUCAUAAAAUUUGUGGCAUAUAUGCAGUGAAUGGCACAUUUUUGUGAUGCUCAAUCAGGCGUGCUCAUCUGGAGCAGCAGCAAACAUCAGUCAAGUGAUUGAAGAUUAAAGUGCAGCCCAGUCAUUGUCAAUGUGUGUUUGUGUGUGGGAGUGUGCGCUCGCUUGGCUGACAAGGACAUGGCAAAAGAUGAGAACAAUGGUUGGGCACAAUAAUCACAUUAUUUGGAAUCAUUUAAUUUCAACAAUGCCUCCGCUGCCCCCCCCGUCCCUUCUGUGGCAAGCUGAAACCCAAAGCUUGACAAGUCAGCCACAAGCCUUGGCUGCAGAGGCGCCACGUCAUCCGGCUGCCAAGUUACGAGCACAUUCAUUUAUGGGGCAUCAGCUAAACUUGAUGGCAGCUCAGCAGCAACGUGUCAUACUUGAGCAAAAGGCUGCGCGACAACAACAACAAUCACGAGGACGACAACGACAAUGACAACAAAAUGUAAACAGGGAAACGCCUUUCUGAGGCUGGAAAAGAGCCAUGUCUGUGGCAAUGAUUAGCAGUAUAUUUGCCUGACAUUGACAUCAAUCAUAAGCCAACAUCAAGAAGGGUAUUAUUUUCCAGCUAUUAGAACAAUAUUUGAAGUGGCAGAGUGGUGCUUGAGGCGUACUUAUAACUUAGAAACAUGAGCAAAGUAAAUACACGUACUUCUACUAAUUCCAAAAA